Molecule: ribosomal RNA, 874 nt
Filed under: Cortinarius sp. 4 TM03_487
Lineage: Eukaryota; Fungi; Basidiomycota; Agaricomycetes; Agaricales; Cortinariaceae
Description: eukaryotic LSU rRNA
Rfam family: Eukaryotic large subunit ribosomal RNA
Source: RNAcentral
UUCCCCUAGUAACUGCGAGUGAAGCGGGAAAAGCUCAAAUUUAAAAUCUGGCGGUCUUUUGGCUGUCCGAGUUGUAAUCUAGAGAAGUGUUAUCCGCGCUGGACCGUGUACAAGUCUCCUGGAAUGGAGCAUCAUAGAGGGUGAGAAUCCCGUCUUUGACAUGGACUGCCAGGGCUUUGUGAUGCGCUCUCAAAGAGUCGAGUUGUUUGGGAAUGCAGCUCAAAAUGGGUGGUAAAUUCCAUCUAAAGCUAAAUAUUGGCGAGAGACCGAUAGCGAACAAGUACCGUGAGGGAAAGAUGAAAAGAACUUUGGAAAGAGAGUUAAACAGUACGUGAAAUUGCUGAAAGGGAAACGCUUGAAGUCAGUCGCGUCGUCCAGGGAUCAACCUUGCUUUUGCCUGGUGCACUUCCUGGUUUGACGGGUCAGCAUCAAUUUUGACCAUUGGAAAAAGGCUUAGGGAAUGUGGCAUCUUUGGAUGUGUUAUAGCCCUUGGUCACAUACAAUGGUUGGGAUUGAGGAACUCAGCACGCCGCAAGGCCGGGUUUUAAACCACGUACGUGCUUAGGAUGCUGGCAAUAUGGCUUUAAUCGACCCGUCUUGAAACACGGACCAAGGAGUCUAACAUGCCUGCGAGUGUUUGGGUGGAAAACCCGAGCGCGUAAUGAAAGUGAAAAGUUGAGAUCCCUGUCGUGGGGAGCAUCGACGCCCGGACCAGACCUUUUGUGACGGUUCCGCGGUAGAGCAUGUAUGUUGGGACCCGAAAGAUGGUGAACUAUGCCUGAAUAGGGUGAAUCCAGAGGAAACUCUGGUGGAGGCUCGUAGCGAUUCUGACGUGCAAAUCGAUCGUCAAAUUUGGGUAUAGGGGCGAAAGACU